This is a long non-coding RNA of Amphiprion ocellaris (clown anemonefish), 1701 nucleotides long. RefSeq lists it as uncharacterized. The transcript has 3 exons. The record is from RefSeq and is a predicted model, not a curated record. NCBI's taxonomy places the organism in Eukaryota, Metazoa, Chordata, Actinopteri, Pomacentridae.
AGGAAAAUGGAAGUUUAGUUCUGCUACAUCAAAGAUUUCAGGAUUAAAAUAACUAAAUGAGUCUUUAUGCCUCAAACUUUAUUUGACAAUAAAGAAAUAAUGAAAUAAUCACAGAUAAUCAAAAUAUAAAUAGCAGAGAAAACCUGAGAGAAUAAUUUCCUGAAAAGUCUGUGAAGGAAAAGCAGCUUUUUAUCCUGAAAGGUCAGAAUCAGCUCCAACAUCUGCAUCUGACAGCAUCAAGUCAACCAGAAAGAAAAGAAAAAAGAAAAUGACUUCUUUCUGAUCACAUCUGUUCUGCUGCUGCUCACAUUCUUCACAUUUCUAGUCCACUUUUAAAAGUUCAGCAGACAGGUGCUCUGCUUUGGAGUGUGACGAUGUCGUCGGUGAUGUGGAGAGUCAAGUUUCCGUUUCAGCCACAGCGUGCUUUAGGUCACGUAGUUGAUGAAGGCGUUCUGGAGCAGGACCAGAAAGACCACGACCAAGCAGCCUUGAGAUCUUAGGCAGCAUCUCCCUCAGGUCCCUCUCUAUCUCCCCACACAUCCACCAACCACUGGAACACAUCUCCAAAGUUCUGCUGGGCCAGCUCAGCUUCCCCUCAGAAGAAGUGCUGCCACCUGCCAGAUGAAGGAGCCUUUUGAGAGGCAGCUGGCAUCGUGAUUGGACUGUACUUUGGUCUGUUCCAGUCCAGCUUCAGCUCCAGAGACGGCAGGCGGGACGAGUCAACGGAGGCCUGGUGGACGAAGGCAUGAAGCUGAGUACAAUCCAGAAAACAACAGAGGAGGAGUGCAGCAGCCCAGAGCCAGAACAAGCAGAACCAAAGAACUACAGACUCUUCACAACCUGCUCAAACUCUUGGUACAGGACCUCACCACACGGGUCAAGAAGGUUUCCGUCUCAUUUCUACUCUGAAGCUCACCUUCUCCUGCUCAAACUGCUGACAAAUGUUUCUGCUGCUCUAAAGUCUGGUCUCCAGAACUUCCUAAAAACUCUCAAAGUCUCUUCUGCUGCAGGUUGCUUUGUAGAACUGUUCCAGAAAACCUCACUAAACCACAUGGAGGAGCCUCAAGAUAGUCGUCCAAAUGAAACCGUACAAAAACCAAACUAGCAAAACCCAAACGCUAAAGUCUCCUGCAGCCUACCAGAGAACCUCUGAGAACAGAGAAUCAGGACAGGAACUCUUACCUUCUGGACAACCAACGCUGGUUCUCAAACAAGAAUACAGAAUGUGUCUGACCAGAAACCUCUAAAGACUCACUACAGCCAAGAUAAAGACACAACUCAGCUGCACCAAAUCCACUAAUCACUGCACACAUUAGCACCAUGUACUAACUGUGGCUAAAGAACCUCAUUUACCAAGACAACUAUCCAGUACAAAGCCCUGAAACACACCAAGAAACACAUUAAAGACGAUUUUACUGCUGGAAGCUGCAAGCCAACACCUAAAGAACAAACUAAAGCAACAGAACCAAACCCGGUUCACUGGUGAAGAGAAGCAGAGGAAAUGUUUGUCUGCAGCUAAAUAAAGCAGGAAGACACUGAGCUGCUCAGGUGUUCCUGAUAAUACCAAGCAGCCACCUGGACAGCCAAUAGGAACACAGCCACCUGGACAGCCAAUAGGAACACAGCUUCCUGGAAGUCCAGAGGGCGGGGUUAGUCAAGGAAAUUUAGUUUAAAGUUGAAGCAGAAAGUAAACAAAGAAAG